RNAcentral lists this ribosomal RNA (497 nucleotides) under uncultured bacterium. RNAcentral's name for it is "bacterial SSU rRNA". It matches the Rfam family "Bacterial small subunit ribosomal RNA", at positions 28 to 507 of the family's 1533-position model. The record is from RNAcentral.
GGCUAACGCUGGCGGCGUGUCUUAGCCAUGCAAGUCGAGCGGACUUAUGGGGUAACUUAUAAGUCAGCGGCGGACGGCGGAGUAACACGUAGCUAACCUACCCUCUGGACGGGGAUAACCUACCGAAAGGUGGGCUAAUACCCGAUGUAGUCAUCCUGUAUAGGGGUGAUGAAAGGUGGGCUUCUGUUUACAAGCUCAUGCUGGAGGAGGGGGCUGCGGCCUAUCAGGUAGUUGGUAGGGUAAUAGCCUACCAAGCCGAUGACGGGUAGCCGGCCUGAGAGGGUGACCGGCCCGAGGGGCACUGAGAUACGGGUCCCACUCCUACGGGAGGCAGCAGGCUAGAAAUUUGGGCAAUGGGGGAAACCCUGACCCAGUGACGCCGCGUGCAGGAAGGAGCCCUUCGGGGUGUAAAGCUCUUUCAGCCGGGAAGAAAGCGCACUCUCUAACAUAGGGUGUGGAUGACGGUACCGGAAGAAGAAGCACCGGCUAACUACGUG